GUAGGUGGCAAGCGUUGUCCGGAUUUAUUGGGCGUAAAGCGAGCGCAGGCGGUUUUUUAAGUCUGAUGUGAAAGCCUUCGGCUCAACCGAAGAAGUGCAUCGGAAACUGGGAAACUUGAGUGCAGAAGAGGACAGUGGAACUCCAUGUGUAGCGGUGAAAUGCGUAGAUAUAUGGAAGAACACCAGUGGCGAAGGCGGCUGUCUGGUCUGUAACUGACGCUGAGGCUCGAAAGUAUGGGUAGCAAACAGGAUUAGAUACCCUGGUAGUCCAUACCGUAAACGAUGAAUGCUAAGUGUUGGAGGGUUUCCGCCCUUCAGUGCUGCAGCUAACGCAUUAAGCAUUCCGCCUGGGGAGUACGGCCGCAAGGCUGAAACUCAAAGGAAUUGACGGGGGCCCGCACAAGCGGUGGAGCAUGUGGUUUAAUUCGAAGCUACGCGAAGAACCUUACCAGGUCUUGACAUACUAUGCAAAUCUAAGAGAUUAGACGUUCCCUUCGGGGACAUGGAUACAGGUGGUGCAUGGUUGUCGUCAGCUCGUGUCGUGAGAUGUUGGGUUAAGUCCCGCAACGAGCGCAACCCUUAUUAUCAGUUGCCAGCAUUAAGUUGGGCACUCUGGUGAGACUGCCGGUGACAAACCGGAGGAAGGUGGGGAUGACGUCAAAUCAUCAUGCCCCUUAUGACCUGGGCUACACACGUGCUACAAUGGAUGGUACAACGAGUUGCGAACUCGCGAGAGUAAGCUAAUCUCUUAAAGCCAUUCUCAGUUCGGAUUGUAGGCUGCAACUCGCCUACAUGAAGUCGGAAUCGCUAGUAAUCGCGGAUCAGCAUGCCGCGGUGAAUACGUUCCCGGGCCUUGUACACACCGCCCGUCACACCAUGAGAGUUUGUAACACCCAAAGUCGGUGGGGUAACCUUUUAGGAACCAGCCGCCUAAGGUGGACAGAGAUGGA
This 950-nucleotide ribosomal RNA is filed under the name Lactiplantibacillus plantarum. RNAcentral's name for it is "bacterial SSU rRNA". It matches the Rfam family "Bacterial small subunit ribosomal RNA", at positions 527 to 1475 of the family's 1533-position model. The record is from RNAcentral. Lineage: Bacteria; Bacillati; Bacillota; Bacilli; Lactobacillales; Lactobacillaceae.